This 332-nucleotide ribosomal RNA is filed under the name uncultured Paenibacillus sp. Its description in RNAcentral is "bacterial SSU rRNA". It matches the Rfam family "Bacterial small subunit ribosomal RNA", at positions 1054 to 1382 of the family's 1533-position model. The record is from RNAcentral. Lineage: Bacteria; Bacillati; Bacillota; Bacilli; Caryophanales; Paenibacillaceae.
GUCAGCUCGUGUCGUGAGAUGUUGGGUUAAGUCCCGCAACCGAGCGCAACCCUCGACCUUAGUUGCCAGCAUUCAGUUUGGGCACUCUAAGGUGGACUGACCGGCUAAAAGUCGGAGGAAGGUGGGGAUGACGUCAAAUCAUCAUGCCCCUUAUGACCUGGGCUACACACGUGCUACAAUGGGCGGUACAAAGGGUCGCGAACCCGCGAGGGGGAGCCAAUCCCAAAAAAGCCGCUCUCAGUUCGGAUUGCAGGCUGCAACUCGCCUGCAUGAAGCCGGAAUCGCUAGUAAUCGUGAAUCAGAAUGUCACGGUGAAUACGUUCCCGGGCCUU